Molecule: small nuclear RNA, 22 nt
Filed under: Arabidopsis thaliana (thale cress)
Lineage: Eukaryota; Viridiplantae; Streptophyta; Magnoliopsida; Brassicales; Brassicaceae
Description: snRNA_14394
Source: RNAcentral
UGACUCUCUUAAGGUAGCCAAA